CCUGAACUUGCCAGCUGGGAAUGGAUCUACCAUUCCCAGCUGGGUGACCUUGAGAAGCCACUUCUCAGUUUCCUCACCAUCAAAGGAGAAACUGUACCUGUGUGUAAGCUCCUGAGGAACUGGGCAGGAGAAAGAGCUGCGUGUCUCCUCAAGACCACUAGAUGGCACCAGCGGGUCAGCACUCUCCCUGCAGGCUGACCUCGGGAGGAAUUCCACCUCUGGGAUCAGCCCUUAAGGCAGGAAGCCACCUACCUCCUUCCGCUGGCAGGAGCCCCUGAGAAUCUGCUGGCUGGCAGAGACAGAAGGAGGAGAAUGAGGGCCAAAAAACUUGAGUCCUUGCCCCGAGUCACACAGCAAUGAAGUCACAGGGACUGGAGUCUGAAGCUGAGCUCCUCAACAGACAUGGGGGGCGGAUGCAGAAAGCUGAAUAAUGGUCCUCAGAAGAUAUACACAUCCUAACCCCCCAAAUACCUGUGAACGUCAUCUUAGAUGGCAAAGGGGACCUUGCAGAUGUGUUUAAGUGAAGGAUCUUGAGAUAGAUCCUCCAUCCUGGAUUAUCCGGGUGGGCCUGAUGUAAUCCCAAGGAUCCUUCUAAGAGGAAACAGGAGUGUCAGAGUGGGAAGAAAGAGCUGAGACAUUGGGAGCAGAGGAGGAAAGAGCAUUGGAUGUGAGGAUGAAGGCCGCAUCCAUUCUGGAAAAGUCAGGGAGAACCAGCUCUGCUCAGACUUUUAACCCAAUGAGGCUGAUUUUGGACUUCUGACCUCCAGCACUGUAAAGUAAUAAACAUCCGUCGCUUUAAGCUACCAGGUUC
This is a long non-coding RNA of Nycticebus coucang (slow loris), 811 nucleotides long. RefSeq lists it as uncharacterized. The transcript is spliced from 3 exons. The record is from RefSeq and is a predicted model, not a curated record. NCBI's taxonomy places the organism in Eukaryota, Metazoa, Chordata, Mammalia, Primates, Lorisidae.